UUUCUGCUGUACAGCAAAGUGACCCAGUUCUACCUAUACAUUCUUUUUCUCAUAUUAUCUUCUAUCGUGUUCCAUCCCAUGAGAUUGGCUAGAGUUCGCUGUGCUGUGCAGCAGGAUCUCAUUGCUUAUCCAUUCUAUUUUUUUUUUUUUUUUUUUUGUCUUUAUGUCUUUUCUAGGGCUGCACCCUUGGCAUACGGAAGUUCCCACGCUACGGGUGAAUGAGAGCUACAGCUGCACGCCUACACCACAGCCACGGCAACAUGGGAUCCGAGCCACAUCUGCGACCUACACCACAGCUCACGGCAACGCCGGAUCCUUAACCCACUGAACAAGGCCAGGGAUCAAACCCACAUCUUCAUGGAUGCUAGUCAGGUUCAUUACCACUGAGCCACGAUGGGCACUCCUUCUUCUUCUAUUUUUUUUUUAAGCCUCUUAACCUGAUACCUCUCAUAAACAUCCAGGCAAUUCUACCCCCAAAGUUGAAAAACACCCAAGGGCUGGGUGUUAUUUUAGGUGUGGGAGGGAACCAUGAAAUCAAAACACAGUGCAGAUCAAAGUUUGGCCCAGGGUUAGAAGAGGACGGAGGCAGGUGCCUCUUCCCGGGCAGAGUCUUGGGGAGUCCCCACCAGGUGUGGGGACAGGCCCGCCGGCCACUGCAGAUGGAGGCUGGGCAAAGACAGGGCCCCCUUCUCACCACUGGCUGGGCUCUGACCAGUCCAGCCUGGGUCCCGCUCGUUCCUGGAAGGAAUGGAACGGGUCUUCCCACUGCCGCCGUGGGCUCACACGGACUGAAUGCCCAGUCCAGCUCCUUCUUCACCUGAACUGAGGACUCUGAACUGAGAAAAGUACAACAAAGGAGCCAUCGAGAAAGGAAGUUAGAUACCGAGUGUCACGCACCCGGCCCUGGAGGGGCUGGCGGGCAUCUGCAUGAGGAGUGCCAGGGCAACAGGGGGCCAGACCCCACCUCAGCGGGGUUCAGCUCUUCAACACUUGCCUUCCCCCAGCUCUAAGUCUGUCCACACUUGCUGAGAACACAGCAGGGGGGCCAGCCACUCAGGCGCAGCGGCUGGGAAAUGGGGCCUGAGGGUCUCCGCCAGCAGCGCCGCAGGGCUAGAACACCCCGCUUCCCCAGUGGAGAUGGUGCCACACCUGCCCUCCUUUCUGGUCGCGUGACCUUGGGCCCAUCCCAGCCCCUCAAGGCCAGGUGCGCUUGCCACGCUUCUCCCAUGCUAACCAAGCCUUUGGGUCUCCUCCCAGGGGCUCCUGGGGUGACCCGUCCCUGUGCAGACAGGCUACGUGGAGCGCAGUUAUUAGAGGACUUAGUUUCGAGGUCACACUCUGGGAAUGUAGCAUCGUGUAUGUUUUCAUUUCUGGGUCUCGCCCGGCUUUAACCAAAACCAUGGACGUCAGGUUUGGUUCUCUUGACCAAGGGCAAGACUUGGACUUGGAUCCAACAGGAUUCCUGAGACUUUUCUCUAUUUCCUGACGAUCCGAGCGAUUAAAGAGCAAUGAAAUGUGCAAGUCUCUGUUGGCCUGAAACCACUUAACCUCUGGUUCUUCUGGUCCAAUAUGUUUGUAUGAGAUACACAGGCUCUGACAGGCCAACUGUGGCUCCCGACAGUGUGCUGCACACACACGUGGACAGGUGUUUGUGACUUUUAGAAAACGACGUGUCCAGCUCAGCCACAACCCUGCUGUGCGAGGCAGACCCCCGUCUGUGCCUCUCAAGUUCACGACAGUGGUGGCAACAACCUGCAAGCAAGGAAUAACCCGGAGCCGACUGAAUACCGACACUUACUGACGAGGACAAGCCAGGUAUACAGACAGCCUGCUGUGGACGGGAGCCGGCGGGAGAGAACCCCUGUUCCACAGGCUCUAGUCACACUUCUUUACAGAUCAGCAUCCAUCUGACAGAUGGAAACGUGUCGCUGCUACCUAAUUGUGCCAUAAAAUAAAGGAAGUAUCACCCAAGUAGCUUCCUUUUCAUCAUCUCACACUUCCAGUCAUCCAGUUUGGUGGGCCUUCUUUCUGAAAUAAAUCACAACUUUUUCCUAUCGUUUUCUCUUCCGGUUUCAUUGAGCCGUAAUUGACCCACAGCGCCGUGUACGUCAAGGGGGACCACGUAGUGAUCUGACUUACACAUGUUGGGUACGGAUGACCACGGUAAGUUUAGUGAACAUUCAUCAUCUCACAUAGGUACAAAAUUAAAGAGAUGGGAAAAAAAAUGUUUUCCUUGUGAUGAGAACUUUUAGGAUUUACUCUCUUAACUAUUUUUUCCUUCUUAGGGCUACACCUGUCACAUAUGGAAGUUUCCAGGGUAGGGGCCAGUUGGGGCUGCAGUGGCAGGCCUACACCACAGCCACAGCCAUGAAGGAUCUGCACUGCAUCUGCAUCCCAAGUUGCAGCUUGCGGCAAAACCAAAUCCUUACCACACUGAACCAGAUCUUAACACACUGAGCGAGGCCAGGGAUCGAACCCCCACCCUCACGGACACUGUGCUGGGUUCUUAACCUGCUGAGCCACAACGGGAACUCCACUCUGUUAACUUUCACAUCUUUUAACUGCCUUCCUCCUACCCCCACUUCUGGUAACCACAAAUUUAGUAUCAUGUGUUUGCCUAUGUUUUUAUUUUUUUAUGAACUUCUUAAAAAAACUGCAGUUGAUUUACAAUGUUGUGCUAAUUUCUGCUGUACAUGACACACACACACACACACACAUAUAUAUAUAUAUAUAUACAUGUAUCUCCUUUUUAUAUGAUCUUCCAUCAUGGUCUAUUCCAAGAGAAUGGACGUAGUUCCCUGUGCUGUGCACUAGAACCUCAUUGCUGAAAAAAGUCAAAACUUCUGAGAGAACCCAUCAUGGGCCACUGGUGGGAAAUGUGACCGUGACAGCACUGGCUCAUGAACACGUAGCAGUCACGCUGGCCUCCUGUGACCCUCAUGGCUUCUGAUCACUUCCUCUGACUUUAUGAAUUUAAGCGAACAACACACGCACACACACACACACAAAUACAAAGGUGUAGCUGUCAGAUCCCAGGGUGGAAACCAGCCUCCACCUGUGUAAUCUGACUCCUAAUGUCACCUGCGACAGAAACCACCCAUUGUCUUCCCUGUCAUUAAACAAAGAGAAAUAAAGCCAGCUAAGUUCAGUAAACAGCCGACUCAAAUUUCAGAAGCUAUUCUUAUUCAACCUCUCCUCCAGUAGAAAAACCACAAUGGUCGGGCAAAAACAAUGGGCGAGUGGUGCCAGCCGCCAGGUGAGGGCCUGCACCUGCGUCCCGAGUCAGGCACUGCCUGGACUGCCCCCCACACGUGGCCCCCGGAAGGUGGCAGCUGGGGCCCCUUUCAAGGACGGCGGUGGCUCUGAAGUGGAGGAACUUCUCAAACGCAAAUCGGCCUCUCCCGACCGAGGGUGCGGCCGUGGGGGCGGUUCUUGCACGUGGACACGCCGUGUCCCCACAAACCCUCCACCAGCCCCGGGAAAGCAUUUCCGCUGGGGCACGGCUACGAAUUGUCUCCUGCGGCCGACGGCAUUGGAAAGGCAAAGAUAAGAUGGAAAAACAAACAACACUGGCUGCCUUGGACGUCAAUAAAAAGUUGUCAGGCCACGUUCAGAGCCCCGAGUCGUGAAGAGAUCCUGCAAUCAAGCCACCAGCCACCAGCUGGAGGAAAUCUCACACACACACACACACACACACACACACACACACACACACACACACCCCCGCAUCCCGACCACAGGCUCUUUGCCAUCGGCUCUCCACCGCCUCUAUGUCGACAAACGAGGGGCUGCCAGAUUCAAGGUCCCAGACGUGGCGGUCAAGGUCCCUGCACCCCACCCCACCCCCACCACAGCAGAGAGCACGCUGCAGAACCCAUCAAAUUGGUUCUCUCCCCACCAGAUGGCAAGAGGAGGGGCAAACCCAAAAUGCAAACAGCAAAGGCUGCGCUGCCCCCUUGAACUCACCCAACAACACAUGAGGCUUUUUCCCACUCGCUGUGUACUUUCCAUGCGCCAGAGCCAAGGCUCAGAAUCUCCCUAUGUUAUUUCAUCCCAACCUGAGCACCCCUCGAGGACGUGGGGGGCGUCCCCACUUUACAGAAGACGGCCGUGGACCCCAGAAGUGGGAGGUCUCAGUUCACGGUUACAGCCUGGGUGGGACCCCGAGCUGACUCAAGCCCCACUCACUGUUCUAGUCUUAGUCUGUGCCACAUGCACAUGAGCAAGCAGGUCCACCUAUAGAAAGAACUAGAGGAUGCGCGUGACCCAGUCCCAAAGAGCCUGACCCCUCUCCCACCACUAAAGAUUACCGUAGUUAUCUCAACAACCAGCGAGUCAUCCACUCCGCAAACCAGGAGAUGACAUGCCAUGGACGUCUCGCAGGUGUAACCCAGAGCGACAACAAGGCAUCUAUUUCUAAAUGCCGUGCCAACAGCCGCAGCCACAUAAUGCCAAGGGUUCUGAGAAGGCUGCACUUCAAAGCUUGUGUCCGACGUCCCUCUAAAAGAAGAAUUCAUCUGGACCUGGCCAUGGGCGGGAGCAUGUCCGUGCAGCUGUCGUGCAGGACCUGUCCCCGGCCACAGUCAACACCUGGCAUAGCUUCCCACGUGGCACUUUCUCCACUGAUUUGCUUUUUCCCUCCUUGCUGAUAAGGCACAGGCCAAUACUGCGGUUUCCCUCUCACGCCGGCUUCCAGGAAACUGGGAGCCUUGUUUGCAGGUUUCAUCAGCUCAGUUGACAUUUACAGAGGGAGGUCUGCCUCCCAGAUCUUUCUCUCAGCCCCACCGCCUGUCAUUUCUAGUCAGUGUAUCACUCAAACCUGGUGCCCACCUUUUUUUUUUUUUUUUUUUUCAGGGCUGUACCUGCAGCAUAUGAAGGUUCCCAGGCUCGGGGUAGAAUGGGAGCUGCAGCUGCCAGCCUACAUCACAGCCACAGCAACACCAGAUCCGAGCUGCAUCUGUGACCUAUGCUGCAGUCUGUGGCAACACCAGACCCUUAACCCACUGAUUGAGACCAGGGGUCAAACCCAAAUCCUCAGAGACUGCAUCGGAUUCUUAACCCACUGAGCCACGAUGGGAACUUCCAUGGCCACAUUCUAAGCCACGGCAAUAAACAGGAAGAGAAUGUGCUACCAGAAAAGGCCCAGAAAAAUGAGCAGCAAGGCCAACAGCCAAGGGGUCAGGGCAGGAGGGCCACGUGAAGUUUCCUGGCUGCUGGGUCCCAAACACUUCAGGUGGUCACAAGGGAACCUCCGCCUGGCAGAGCAUGACGUCAUGAGGUGCAGGGGUCACGGGAGGUCACCAGGUCCUGUGGGCACAGCCUGGCACCAACCUCUCCUCUCCAACCAGGGCAGUGAAGGACGCUUCC
This 5367-nucleotide long non-coding RNA is filed under the name Sus scrofa (pig). RNAcentral's name for it is "lncRNA (ENSSSCG00065022720.1)". Lineage: Eukaryota; Metazoa; Chordata; Mammalia; Artiodactyla; Suidae. The record is from RNAcentral.